GAGUUUGAUCGUGGCUCAGAUUGAACGCUGGCGGAAUGCUUUACACAUGCAAGUCGAGCGGCAGCGCGGGGCAACCUGGCGGCGAGCGGCGAACGGGUGAGUAAUGCAUCGGAACGUGUCCAUGUCGUGGGGGAUAGCCCGGCGAAAGCCGGAUUAAUACCGCAUACGCCCGAGAGGGGAAAGUGGGGGACCGCAAGGCCUCACGCGAUUGGGUCGGCCGAUGUCCGAUUAGCUAGUUGGCGGGGUAAAGGCCCACCAAGGCGAUGAUCGGUAGCUGGUCUGAGAGGAUGAUCAGCCACACUGGGACUGAGACACGGCCCAGACUCCUACGGGAGGCAGCAGUGGGGAAUUUUGGACAAUGGGGGCAACCCUGAUCCAGCCAUUCCGCGUGAGUGAAGAA
RNAcentral lists this ribosomal RNA (400 nucleotides) under uncultured beta proteobacterium. Its description in RNAcentral is "bacterial SSU rRNA". It matches the Rfam family "Bacterial small subunit ribosomal RNA", at positions 9 to 412 of the family's 1533-position model. Lineage: Bacteria; Pseudomonadati; Pseudomonadota; Betaproteobacteria. The record is from RNAcentral.